GUUCCCGUAGCUCAGUAGGAUAGAGCAGCCGCCUCCUAAGCGGCAGGUCGCAGGUUCGACUCCUGCCGGGAACGCCA
This 77-nucleotide transfer RNA is filed under the name Idiomarina aquatica. RNAcentral describes it as "tRNA-Arg". It matches the Rfam family "tRNA". Rfam says of the family: Transfer RNA (tRNA) molecules are approximately 80 nucleotides in length. Their secondary structure includes four short double-helical elements and three loops (D, anti-codon, and T loops). Further hydrogen bonds mediate the characteristic L-shaped molecular structure. tRNAs have two regions of fundamental functional importance: the anti-codon, which is responsible for specific mRNA codon recognition, and the 3' end, to which the tRNAs corresponding amino acid is attached (by aminoacyl-tRNA synthetases). tRNAs cope with the degeneracy of the genetic code in two manners: having more than one tRNA (with a specific anti-codon) for a particular amino acid; and 'wobble' base-pairing, i.e. permitting non-standard base-pairing at the 3rd anti-codon position. Lineage: Bacteria; Pseudomonadati; Pseudomonadota; Gammaproteobacteria; Alteromonadales; Idiomarinaceae. The record is from RNAcentral. RNAcentral also lists the same sequence under 1 other name.